This 492-nucleotide ribosomal RNA is filed under the name uncultured bacterium. Its description in RNAcentral is "partial 16S ribosomal RNA". It matches the Rfam family "Bacterial small subunit ribosomal RNA", at positions 29 to 507 of the family's 1533-position model. The record is from RNAcentral.
AGUGAACGCUGGCGGUAGGCCUAACACAUGCAAGUCGAACGGCAGCACAGUAAGAGCUUGCUCUUACGGGUGGCGAGUGGCGGACGGGUGCGGAAUACAUCGGAAUCUACUUUUUCGUGGGGGAUAACGUAGGGAAACUUACGCUAAUACCGCAUACGACCUACGGGUGAAAGCAGGGGAUCUUCGGACCUUGCGCGAUUGAAUGAGCCGAUGUCGGAUUAGCUAGUUGGCGGGGUAAAGGCCCACCAAGGCGACGAUCCGUAGCUGGUCUGAGAGGAUGAUCAGCCACACUGGAACUGAGACACGGUCCAGACUCCUACGGGAGGCAGCAGUGGGGAAUAUUGGACAAUGGGCGCAAGCCUGAUCCAGCCAGACCGCGUGGGUGAAGAAGGCCUUCGGGUUGUAAAGCCCUUUUGUUGGGAAAGAAAAGCAGCAGGUUAAUACCCCGCUGUUCUGACGGUACCCAAAGAAUAAGCACCGGCUAACUUCGUG